RNAcentral lists this ribosomal RNA (371 nucleotides) under uncultured bacterium. Its description in RNAcentral is "bacterial SSU rRNA". It matches the Rfam family "Bacterial small subunit ribosomal RNA", at positions 527 to 896 of the family's 1533-position model. The record is from RNAcentral.
AGAGACCUCAAGCGUUAUCCGGAUUUAUUGGGCGUAAAGAGCAGGUAGGUGGAAAUAUUAGUCAGAUGUCAAAUCCUUCGACUCAAUCGAAGAACUGCAUUUGAAACGGUAUUUCUAGAGGGAGUGAGAGAUUACCGGAACUUAUGGUGUAGCAGUGAAAUGCGUUGAUAUCGUGAGGAACACCAAAGGCGAAGGCAUGUAAUUGGCACUCUCCUGACACUGAUCUGCGAAAGCGUGGGUAGCGAAUGGGAUUAGAUACCCCAGUAGUCCACGCCCUAAACGUUGCACACUAGGCAUGCGGGGAUUCGACCCCUCUCGUGUCGUAGCCAACGCGUUAAGUGUGCCGCCUGGGAAGUACGAGCGCAAGCUUA